RNAcentral lists this ribosomal RNA (1361 nucleotides) under uncultured bacterium. RNAcentral's name for it is "bacterial SSU rRNA". It matches the Rfam family "Bacterial small subunit ribosomal RNA", at positions 28 to 1381 of the family's 1533-position model. The record is from RNAcentral.
AUUGAACGCUGGCGGCAGGCCUAACACAUGCAAGUCGAGCGGUAGCACAGAGAGCUUGCUCUCGGGUGACGAGCGGCGGACGGGUGAGUAAUGUCUGGGAAACUGCCUGAUGGAGGGGGAUAACUACUGGAAACGGUAGCUAAUACCGCAUAACGUCGCAAGACCAAAGUGGGGGACCUUCGGGCCUCAUGCCAUCAGAUGUGCCCAGAUGGGAUUAGCUAGUAGGUGGGGUAACGGCUCACCUAGGCGACGAUCCCUAGCUGGUCUGAGAGGAUGACCAGCCACACUGGAACUGAGACACGGUCCAGACUCCUACGGGAGGCAGCAGUGGGGAAUAUUGCACAAUGGGCGCAAGCCUGAUGCAGCCAUGCCGCGUGUGUGAAGAAGGCCUUCGGGUUGUAAAGCACUUUCAGCGGGGAGGAAGGCGAUAAGGUUAAUAACCUUGUCGAUUGACGUUACCCGCAGAAGAAGCACCGGCUAACUCCGUGCCAGCAGCCGCGGUAAUACGGAGGGUGCAAGCGUUAAUCGGAAUUACUGGGCGUAAAGCGCACGCAGGCGGUCUGUCAAGUCGGAUGUGAAAUCCCCGGGCUCAACCUGGGAACUGCAUUCGAAACUGGCAGGCUAGAGUCUUGUAGAGGGGGGUAGAAUUCCAGGUGUAGCGGUGAAAUGCGUAGAGAUCUGGAGGAAUACCGGUGGCGAAGGCGGCCCCCUGGACAAAGACUGACGCUCAGGUGCGAAAGCGUGGGGAGCAAACAGGAUUAGAUACCCUGGUAGUCCACGCCGUAAACGAUGUCGAUUUGGAGGUUGUGCCCUUGAGGUGUGGCUUCCGGAGCUAACGCGUUAAAUCGACCGCCUGGGGAGUACGGCCGCAAGGUUAAAACUCAAAUGAAUUGACGGGGGCCCGCACAAGCGGUGGAGCAUGUGGUUUAAUUCGAUGCAACGCGAAGAACCUUACCUGGUCUUGACAUCCACAGAACUUUCCAGAGAUGGAUUGGUGCCUUCGGGAACUGUGAGACAGGUGCUGCAUGGCUGUCGUCAGCUCGUGUUGUGAAAUGUUGGGUUAAGUCCCGCAACGAGCGCAACCCUUAUCCUUUGUUGCCAGCGGUUAGGCCGGGAACUCAAAGGAGACUGCCAGUGAUAAACUGGAGGAAGGUGGGGAUGACGUCAAGUCAUCAUGGCCCUUACGACCAGGGCUACACACGUGCUACAAUGGCAUAUACAAAGAGAAGCGACCUCGCGAGAGCAAGCGGACCUCAUAAAGUAUGUCGUAGUCCGGAUUGGAGUCUGCAACUCGACUCCAUGAAGUCGGAAUCGCUAGUAAUCGUAGAUCAGAAUGCUACGGUGAAUACGUUCCCGGGCCU